AGAUUGAACGCUGGCGGCAGGCCUAACACAUGCAAGUCGAGCGGUAGAGAGGUGCUUGCACCUCUUGAGAGCGGCGGACGGGUGAGUAAUGCCUAGGAAUCUGCCUAGUGGUGGGGGAUAACGUUCGGAAACGGACGCUAAUACCGCAUACGUCCUACGGGAGAAAGCGGGGGACCCUCGGGCCUCGCGCCAUUAGAUGAGCCUAGGUCGGAUUAGCUAGUUGGUGAGGUAAUGGCUCACCAAGGCGACGAUCCGUAACUGGUCUGAGAGGAUGAUCAGUCACACUGGAACUGAGACACGGUCCAGACUCCUACGGGAGCAGCAGUGGGAAUA
Molecule: ribosomal RNA, 333 nt
Filed under: uncultured soil bacterium
Lineage: Bacteria
Description: bacterial SSU rRNA
Rfam family: Bacterial small subunit ribosomal RNA
Source: RNAcentral